Molecule: ribosomal RNA, 454 nt
Filed under: uncultured bacterium
Lineage: Bacteria
Description: bacterial SSU rRNA
Rfam family: Bacterial small subunit ribosomal RNA
Source: RNAcentral
UACGGAAGGCAGCAGUGGGGAAUAUUGCACAAUGGGCGCAAGCCUGAUGCAGCCAUGCCGCGUGUAUGAAAAAGGCCUUCGGGUUGUAAAGUACUUUCAGUCGUGAGGAAGGUGUUAAGGUUAAUAACCUUAGCAAUUGACGUUAGCGACAGAAGAAGCACCGGCUAACUCCGUGCCAGCAGCCGCGGUAAUACGGAGGGUGCGAGCGUUAAUCGGAAUUACUGGGCGUAAAGGGCACGCAGGCGGUUAAUUAAGUUGGAUGUGAAAUCCCCGGGCUUAAACCUGGGAAUGGCAUUCAAGACUGGUUAGCUAGAGUCUUGUAGAGGGGGUAGAAUUCCAUGUGUAGCGGUGAAAUGCGUAGAGAUGUGGAGGAAUACCGGUGGCGAAGGCGGCCCCUGGACAAAGACUGACGCUCAUGUGCGAAAGCGUGGGGAGCAAACAGGGAUUAGAUACC